CAAGGCUUGACAUCCACUUAAACGCAUGGAAACAUGCGGUCUCUUCGGAGGAAGUGAGACAGGUGGUGCAUGGUUGUCGUCAGCUCGUGUCGUGAGAUGUUGGGUUAAGUCCCGCAACGAGCGCAACCCCUAUUGCCAGUUACCAGCGGGUUAUGCCGGGGACUCUGGUGAGACUGCCGGGGACAACUCGGAGGAAGGUGGGGAUGACGUCAAAUCAUCAUGCCCCUUAUGUCUUGGGCUACACACGUGCUACAAUGGCUGAAACAAAGGGAUGCGACAACGUAAGUUGAAGCGGAUCUCACAAAAACAGUCCCAGUUCGGAUUGUGGGCUGCAACCCGCCCACAUGAAGUCGGAGUUGCUAGUAAUCGCGGAUCAGCAUGCCGCGGUGAAUACGUUCC
Molecule: ribosomal RNA, 399 nt
Filed under: uncultured bacterium
Lineage: Bacteria
Description: bacterial SSU rRNA
Rfam family: Bacterial small subunit ribosomal RNA
Source: RNAcentral